Molecule: non-coding RNA, 76 nt
Organism: Megalops atlanticus (tarpon)
Lineage: Eukaryota; Metazoa; Chordata; Actinopteri; Elopiformes; Megalopidae
Source: the annotation of a GenBank genome assembly
AGCAGUGUAACAUAGUGGUAAGGAGCAGGGCUCAUAACCAUUAGGUUUCUGGUUUGAUUCCCCCGGGCCGCUGCUG